RNAcentral lists this transfer RNA (72 nucleotides) under Neotoma lepida (desert woodrat). It matches the Rfam family "tRNA". Rfam says of the family: Transfer RNA (tRNA) molecules are approximately 80 nucleotides in length. Their secondary structure includes four short double-helical elements and three loops (D, anti-codon, and T loops). Lineage: Eukaryota; Metazoa; Chordata; Mammalia; Rodentia; Cricetidae. The record is from Rfam by way of RNAcentral.
AGAGCUGUAGCUCAGUGGUAGAUCACAUGCUUAACAUGUGUAAAACCCUGGGUUNGAUCCCCAGUAUCCCUA